GGACCUUGCGCUAUCGGAUGAGCCUAUGUCGGAUUAGCUAGUUGGUGAGGUAAUGGCUCACCAAGGCCGCGAUCCGUAGCUGGUCUGAGAGGAUGAUCAGCCACAUCGGGACUGAGACACGGCCCGAACUCCUACGGGAGGCAGCAGUGGGGAAUAUUGGACAAUGGGCGAAAGCCUGAUCCAGCCAUGCCGCGUGUGUGAAGAAGGCCUUCGGGUUGUAAAGCACUUUCAGCGAGGAAGAACGCCUGUGGGUUAAUACCCCGCAGGAAGGACAUCACUCGCAGAAGAAGCACCGGCUAACUCCGUGCCAGCAGCCGCGGUAAUACGGAGGGUGCAAGCGUUAAUCGGAAUUACUGGGCGUAAAGCGCGCGUAGGCGGCUUGAUAAGCCGGUUGUGAAAGCCCCGGGCUCAACCUGGGAACGGCAUCCGGAACUGUCAGGCUAGAGUGCAGGAGAGGAAGGUAGAAUUCCCGGUGUAGCGGUGAAAUGCGUAGAGAUCGGGAGGAAUACCAGUGGCGAAGGCGGCCUUCUGGACUGACACUGACGCUGAGGUGCGAAAGCGUGGGUAGCAAACAGGAUUAGAUACCCUGGUAGUCCACGCCGUAAACGAUGUCGACUAGCCGUUGGGGUCCUCGAGACCUUUGUGGCGCAGUUAACGCGAUAAGUCGACCGCCUGGGGAGUACGGCCGCAAGGUUAAAACUCAAAUGAAUUGACGGGGGCCCGCACAAGCGGUGGAGCAUGUGGUU
RNAcentral lists this ribosomal RNA (746 nucleotides) under Halomonas sp. Its description in RNAcentral is "bacterial SSU rRNA". It matches the Rfam family "Bacterial small subunit ribosomal RNA", at positions 208 to 946 of the family's 1533-position model. Lineage: Bacteria; Pseudomonadati; Pseudomonadota; Gammaproteobacteria; Oceanospirillales; Halomonadaceae. The record is from RNAcentral.